RNAcentral lists this unclassified non-coding RNA (1416 nucleotides) under Actinia tenebrosa (Australian red waratah sea anemone). RNAcentral's name for it is "aDP-ribosylation factor-related protein 1-like, transcript variant X4". The record is from RNAcentral. Lineage: Eukaryota; Metazoa; Cnidaria; Anthozoa; Actiniaria; Actiniidae.
GCGGCCUACACCAUUAGUGCCAGCACUACUCAACUCUCUUCUAGAUUCAAGAUGGCGUCGAAUGCAGCUGAUUGAAAGCCUUCCAAACAUUCGCUUUCUUUCUUCAUUAUGAGCUUCAUUUACCUUUAAAUUCGAUUUAAACUAAGGUCAAUUAGAGCUUGAGUAUAUGAAGGGUACGUCUGACGCCAUGCUUUGUUUAAAAAGGAGUUGGAAUUGCGUCGAAACUUCGUCCAACUGAGCGAGUGAUUCAACAUGUUUACUUUAUUUUCUGGACUUUGGAAAUACUUGUUCCGAAAAGAUGAAUACUUUAUCCUUAUCCUUGGACUUGAUAACGCUGGGAAAACGACAUUUUUGGAGCAAAUCAAGAGAACGUUUAGUAGCUCGUACAGUGGGAUACCAUUUGAGAAGAUAAGCCCUACUGUAGGAAUGAAUGUUGGUAAGAUAGCAGUUAAUGGUAUAAAGCUGAUAUUCUGGGAUCUAGGGGGACAGCUAGAGCUGAGAUCACUAUGGAAUAAGUAUUUUGAGGAAUGCCACGGAGUCAUAUUUGUGAUUGACAGUAGCGAUGAAAAAAGGCUUGAAGAAUCACACAAUGCAUUUGAUGAAGCCCUCAAACAUGAGUUUCUCAAAGGAGUACCACUGUUAGUGUUAGCAAACAAGCAGGAUGUUCCUGGUUCUCUUUCUGUUGAUAAAAUCCAGUCAGUUUUUCAUCCCGAGUGUGCAAUACUGGAUGGACGACAGUGUUUUAUACAACCAACAUCGGCAUUGCAGGGCGAUGGCAUAGAACCAGGAAUACUAUGGAUUGCAGAUCAAGUAAAACAAAACCUUGACAGGCCACCACGUCAAAAGGAUAUCUCAUGAUAUAUCACAUCUCACUUACAUGUAAGGAAUAUUGACUGAAGUAUGAUGAAACGGGCUGUCUCCAAAGACAGCUACCCUGAACCCGCCAGUCGGAACUCAACGUCAAGAUACGAGACUCUGUUUUGCCGGUCGCUUUUUAUUGAAGAGGAAUUCAAUUUACCGCAAUUAGGGUUCCGGAUUUGAGCUCUUGUGAGCUAUCGAAAGAACGGGGAGAUUACCAUCGCUGUGGCUUCUAGUUCAGAGAUUAUACCCGACCAGGGUGCAUAAGAUUGAUUUUAUCCGAGGUUUUUCCCCUCAGUAAAGUCAAGGUUACAAAAGACUGUUGGUCUUAAUCGCAAUGAAUCUUUACUCGUCAUAAUCCUGCUUCGCGGAGAAAACUAGAGCAAGAGAAAAUUCUCUUGACUAGAGUUAUUCUUCACAGGCCAUGCACAUGGAAGCUGCGCACUCCGGAAUUGAAUAAACGCAUUUCCAAUUAUGGUCAGUGUUGUAAGAUCCUAUAUCCUUGUUACUGGCCGAUAUUAACAUGACAAAUAAAAGGUUAAAAGGUUCGACUUCAAA